UUAAUUUAUGUUCUCACUUCAUUGAAAGCAUAAGCCUUACCUAGUCUUUUAGUUUUACAAAACUGACCCCUUUACCUCUUGACCGCAUCGUGCUGUAGGCCUAAACAUUUAUCUCCCAGCUGACUUGAAAAUUAAACCAGAUGUAACUACAUUUUUUGUAUUCGUGAAUAUAAUCAAGGGCCCGGAUCGCCGGACUCACGUCUGUGACGUCACAGAAGGGUCGGUCUACCUUAAGUCAAACCAUGUUGUAGUGUGUGACUGGUCCUCAUUAAUGACUGUCUGCACAACACCACACGGUAUAUAAAUAGAACACUCUAAUGGAAAGUGUUCAGAACUGUCUUCACGUAAUAUAUUAAAUUGUGAAACAUUGUAAAAAUAAACUAGAUGAGACAAGUAAAUAGUCAUUACCACUGCUGCCAAGAUGAAUGCUUGCUUUUAAUUCGUUGCUAUGCAGUUCGAAUUGUCAUAUUAACAAGCUGGUUUUAUUGCCGAUGUUGUGCCUUUGGCUACUGCUCAUAUACCAGUUUCACUCUUUUCUCUGUACCUUGUCAACCGUAAAACUGUAACAACUGUAUUAAGUUUUAAUUGGAUGAGAAACGCGUUUCGACCUUGCAUACAGUAAUAUGCACACACGAUGAUUUUUGCCUUAAAAUAUACAAAUAUCACAUACAAAUGAAAAGUCUUUUGCAUCCAUUAGGUCAACCAAAUAACAAAAAAAAAAACUUUUUCGCAGGUCUUGUCAAAAGUUGCAAACAGCUUAACUACAUAUCAACAGCACAAGACCCAUGUUUAUCCAUCAUAUAUUACAAUAAUUGAAGUGAUUUUCGCAAUUAAAUUGUACAUAUUUACAGGUUUGUAAAAUAUAACUUACAAAAAUGUUUAUCACUGGGUUUGCCCUGUAUAUGACCCUUAAUGAUGGACUCCCCAGUGUGCGAGAUGCCUGAGUGUGUAUAUGUUUCAGGACUUACAUUUACAUUUGACUGAAGUACUGAUGCGUGUACGCUUUUGAAUAUGAAGACGAUUUAAUCAUUUGCUGUACAAUAAAUGUUCAGUUAAUGUCAAGUGUUAAAUCAUAUACUUCAGAUGAGUAUGAAAAAUAUUUUAUCGAAUCAUGUUCAGGUACUGUGAGAACAGCAGGCAGGGGGGCAGUCAAGACUUAAUGGCAGGGAAAAUACCAUACACCAAUACUAUAAAACUCUUUCAUAUGUAGGUAUACAUAAUAUAUAUGGAGAUUCAGUCCAAAAAGCCGUUAAACCUGAUGCAUCCAAAGAGAGCCAUUUUGUUGACGUCAUGGCGUCACGUUGUCAUUAUUCUUCAUUUUGACGCCAUAGUCAAAUCAAGAGGUUUUAUUAGAUAGAUUGUCAAGGACGUAAUUGAUACAGUCAGUCAGCCACUCUUCAUCUCUACGUCAGCAAUUUAUUCAACCAAUGAUUAGAAUUUAAAUGGAUUUGUCUUAGAGCAUCCCUGUACUAUACGGGUCUUAUAUUGUGCUAAUGAUAGAGCUUAACCCUUCGGUGCUCAGGGCUGAUAAACCGUCUAAUACUAACAAGUCUUAACAUAAUUCACUGUAUAACAAAAUAUCGAUCGCCAUUCGUUCCAACUUUUUAUAGAGCGUAUACAGUGUAUUGUUGAAGACGUUACGUUCUUUUGCGAUGACAUUUUACUUCUUUUUGUGUCGUAUCUGACCAGAGAUAUUGAUGGAAUAUUUAAUCAAGCAAUCAAUCAAGCCAGCAAUUUAUCGCUAUUCGAGGUACUGAUAGGCAUAUCGCACGCACGAGAGGACGUCCUUAAAUGACCUUAGCUUUUGAUAAAACAUUCAAAAAAUAAAACCAAACCAAACCAACUUUUUAAAGUACACAUACAAAGACAAGGUUUAUGGAACGUUUAUUAGGGCCCGUAUCGAGGAUACAGUGCCCAAUGGUAUUACAUUUGUCUGUCUCUCUGUCCGUUCCCUAUUUUAACUAAUAACUGUAACUUUGACAUGUAUUGACUGAUUCACAUGAAACUUGGUCCAGAUGUGAAAUCAUGAAAAUACACAUACAGCAAAACAGUCAUGUUCAGUGGUCAAAACAAACCUCAGUGGUCAAAGUCAUCACGUUCAUAGUUCUGGUCCAAUCUUUUUACUGAUAAACUGAUAAAUUUCUCAUAUCUUUACUAAGAAAUAUUUUAUUAUAACAUGAUAAAGCUUCGGGUCAAAGAUCAAGGUGACAUUUUGCAUGUUUUCAAUGAUAAAAUUUUUGUUAAGAUAUGAUGAAAAAGAGUCUACUGAUCAAAAGCAAAGGUCAUCGGGUUCAAGGUCAAGGUAAAGAGGAAAUUUUCUAGAAUUUCAAUGAUGAUGUUUUUUUGUUAUGACACUUUGAAGAAAUGUUUUAAACCAGGAGUCUAAUGACCAAAGUUCACGGUCAAAAUUCAGUGUCAAAUUUUGCAUCUCUCAACUGAUAAACAUUUUAUCAUGAUAUUAAGAAUCAAUGUUUGUUAGAAUUAAACAAGGAGUCAAAGGACAAGGUAAUAGGUUCAAAGGUGUUCGGGUCAAAGGUCAAGGUGAAAUUUUGCAUGUUUUCACAGAUGAACAUUUUCUUGUGACACUAUGAAGCCAUGUUGGUUGGGUUGUAAGAAGAAGUCAACUGACUUAAGAUCAAGGCCAAUGGUUUUAAAAAAAGUACAAUUUUGUGAUGAUAUUAUGAAAUAAGAUUAGUCGGGCUUUUUAAAAAUAUGAAAUCAACUGAUUUAAAGUCAAGGUAUCUGGGUGAAUGUCAUGGAUUUUUUUUUAUCCUUUUAGUUAUAAGAAAUUUGUUUUGACAGUAUGAAGCAAAACUGGUCUGAAUUAAGAAUAAGUGAACUGAUAAAAGAUAAAAAAAAAAAUCACUGAAUCAUAGCUUGUUAGUUAGGCUUACCACCUCGUGAACUUCUUGUGUAAUGAUGCGGGAAGGACUCCUUGUAGUGGGUAAUGGCCAACUCCUUUCGUCGUCGUUGUAUUGAGUUUCAUUUUUACGGCAUUGAUAAUCUGUUGUUUACAUAAUAACCCACAGUCAUGGGUGAACCAUGAACUCCCUGUGUUUAUCUUACGGACAUGCAUUGAUGCAACAAUUGUCCAGGGGUCCGAUUUUGUAAGGUAGGCCUUUGACAUCAGUAGAUAACCACAAAACUAAUAUCCCGUUUGCAUGCACAACCGGAAAUAAUGUCGAUGCUCUCGAUUUUGUACAAUAUCUAUUUUUAUUAAUACUGGACUUUUAAUGUUCAAUGUUGUCGUGUAUUGUAUUUCUGAAAAAUCAGAAACGAGCCCCUCUGAGUGUGACGACAUUGACAAUUUGAUAAUUUCGUAAAGAUCAAGAAUGGCGCUUAUAAUAAUUUAGUGUUGACUGCAUUUUUUUAUCAUAAAAUAUAUACAUGAAAUAUAAAUCUCAUAACUUGUGAAGUUGCUUUAUUUUUAGGUGGUUAAGUAAACAAAUGCUAGCAUUCGAAAUCUCUCCAGGCCGAAAGUAACUAGCGGCCAAUGUUUUAACCUGCAACGCCUGAGACUGUAUUCCUACACUGACCGAAUCACUUUAAAUUGUAGUAUACAGUCGCAUGAAUACAUUUUGGUUUAUUAAUGACAUAUAGGCAAAUGCAACACAGAAUGUAAAUAUAUUAUAUAUCAAUAUAUAUAUGAACCUUGGGUUGGGAAUUUGAAUCAAGCCCCUGUGGCUACAACAUAACAAUAAGAAAUGUCCUCUGACUUAUCUCUAUUAUCCAUUUUCGGACAUAAGAUACUGUCGGAUAAAUAAGAAAUAUCUUCGUAACUGAUAACCGGCAAAGUUGAUAU
Molecule: long non-coding RNA, 3802 nt
Organism: Pecten maximus
Lineage: Eukaryota; Metazoa; Mollusca; Bivalvia; Pectinida; Pectinidae
Exons: 2
Source: RefSeq, a predicted model, not a curated record